UGAUCGUAUGACCUUUGUGUCGACGACAUAUCUUUCAAGUGUCUGACUUAUCAACUUUUAGACGGUACAUUAUAUGUCUACCGUGGUUGUAACGAGUACAGAGAAUCAGGGUUUGGUUCUGGAGAGGCCGCCUGAGAAACGGCGACCACUUCCAAGGAAGGCAGCAGGCGCGCAAAUUACCCACUCUCAAAAUGAGGAGGUAGUGAAGAGAAAUAACGAUGUUAGUCUUUUUAAGGCUGACAAUCGGAAUGGGAACACUGUAAAAAGGUUAUCGAUUAACAAUUGGAGGGCAAGUCUGGUGCCAGCAGCCGCGGUAAUUCCAGCUCCAAUAAGGAAAACUAAAGUUGCUGUGUUUAAAAAGCUCGUAGUUGAAUUUCGGGUAUUUGUUGCUAGCUGGUCUAACUGGCAUGUUGGUUAACAGAUCCUCAUUUGCUGGACGGCGUGGCGAUGAUCUUUAUCGAUUGUCGUCAGUUGCCAGAACGUUUACUUUGAGAAAUUAGAGUGCUAAAAGCAGGCUCACG
This 521-nucleotide ribosomal RNA is filed under the name uncultured eukaryote. Its description in RNAcentral is "SSU rRNA". It matches the Rfam family "Eukaryotic small subunit ribosomal RNA", at positions 260 to 790 of the family's 1831-position model. The record is from RNAcentral.